Long non-coding RNA from Myotis lucifugus (little brown bat), 2436 nucleotides. RefSeq lists it as uncharacterized. The record is from RefSeq and is a predicted model, not a curated record. Lineage: Eukaryota; Metazoa; Chordata; Mammalia; Chiroptera; Vespertilionidae. The transcript is spliced from 3 exons.
GUGAAAGGGUCGUUCGACCCCCAAAUGGGUCUCGACCCACAGGUUGAGAACCGCUGCCUUAAAGAGAAACUGCUGAGAACAUGACAUGCCAAAGAGACAUGAGCGGCAAUAAAGCAUUUUUUCAUUGGCUCCCAGCAAAGAUAUUGAAAUUUACCACACAUCACACCUUUUCAAGCCACUCUGCUAUUAAAUAUACAUAUAUUUUAUUGAUUUCAGAGAGGGAGAGGGAGAGAGAGAGAAACAUCAAAGAUGAGAGAGAAUCAUUGAUUGGCUGCCUCUUGCACGCCCCACACUGGGGAUCGAGCCUGCAACUCGGGCAUGUGCCCUUGACCAGAAUCGAACCCAGGACCCUUCACUCCACAGGCCGACGCUCUAUCCGCUGAGCCAAACCGCUAGGGCCCCUCUGGCAGACAGCUCACCUACCAGCUGGGAUAGCGUUGAGAAAAGAUUAAAAUGCCCACCUUGCCCAGAAAGCUGCUGGUGCCGGCUUGCUUUCCGCUUGCUCAUGCAAUGCUUACUCCGUCACCUACAUGUAUGAAGCACCCACUGUGUGCCAAGCUUCAUGCCGGGUGCGGUGCUUCAAAGAUCUGUAGGACCCAAACUCUGCCUCCCAGACCUCGGCAUCCAACGCCGAAGACGAGCCCUAAGGACGGGGAGCAUGGAGCUCGUUGUUAGGUUACGAAUGCUCAUUUUCAAAACUUCCUCAGUCUUCUCUGACCCUGUGUAUUUCCCUUCAGGGUUUAAUCGCGUCCAGAGCGCAGCCUCUUUCCAACAUCCCUUCCUGCUUCCCCCGCCAGCAUCCCUCCCAAAGAAAAACUACUACCAAAGAUAAGAACUGAAAAAUGGCCCAAAUGCUCUCAUUAUUUCACAAGGAAAAAGAGCAAAGGAAGCGGCAGCCUCAUCCUCCCCCACCCCUGUAACCUCCAGAUCCUUCUCGGGUACCAAGGGGCACACCUCCUGAGCUGGGUGGACGCGGGCCCCUCCUCCUGCCGGCUGGUCCUGGAGGAGCGGUUGCCAGCGCAGCAUCAAGCAGACGCGAUGGACCGGAGGCUCUGGCAGAGCCCACGGAAGCUGCGUUCCUCGGGGAAGGGAGCACUGAGCCAGGGCAGCUGUGCGAGACAGAGAGCCACGUGCGGUCCGCUGUGGUGACAUGAAGACUGGAUUCGUUCACCUCCGGGCUGAAGGGGAACUCUGCCCCCAGAACAUCACAGGCUCCUCCAAAGCCCCGAGACACAACCCGGGACAGUUCAGCUGGGAGGAAACCAAAGCUCCUGUUCAGACAAAAUCUUCCCCAGCACCCCCCGCCCCCUCUCCUCUGUGUCACACACACUGACCGAGAGUCUGCCAUGUUCAGGACAUCGUGCGAGGCUGUGCUAGCCGCUGCCACCCCUCCCACCAAGGGAGGCUUUACAAUGUCAGCGUUUCACGACGACCUCAAAGAGUAAGUGUUUGGGCUGACCCCACAGAGUCAUUUUUUAACAUAUAUUUUUAUGGAUUUCAGAGAGGGAAGGGGAGGGAGAGAGAGAUAGGAAUGUUAAUGAUGAGAGAGAAUCAUUGAUCGGCUGCCUCCUUCAUGCCUCUCACUGGGGAUGGAGCCCACCACCCUGGCAUGUGCCCCAACUGGGAAUCGAACCUGACCUCCUUGUUUGUAGGUUGUCGCUUAGCCGCUGAGCCACGCCAGCUGGGGACACAGUCAUUCUGAGUUGUUUUUUUAUACCCCCUCUGACAUCCUGGGGAGACGGCUCAGCCGGGCUCACGCACUCUUUUUAAAUUCCGUGAGAAGAGCAGUGCUUCACUUCGGGCCUUGGGAGCUUCCCGAGACAGCGCCCGCCCGGGUUCCCACCCUGGCUCUCACAUCAGCUCCUGAAAGGUGGGGGAAGGAAAUAAGCACCACCCAAGGUCGCGGCUGGGAGAGGAAGACGUCAAAGGAAACAGAGAUGCAGGCUUGCCGUUGCCUAGCUCUUCACUGCAUACAUGUGGGAGACAACUGUCUGGCAGCGACAGGAAGUUAGACGGCACUGAGCUGAGGCGGAACUGCAUCGCACCCCUGGACGCUGGCCAGCGCGGAAAUGAAUGACUAAGGGACAGCAGAGACUCCACUUUUGGGAACAGACCUGAAGCUGCCGACCCCCCUGGGACCUGUGUAUCCACGGUUCAUCUCGAGUCCGAGCUCCAAAGCUGUGGGACGAAGCUGGCAACUGUCUCCUCCCGCAGCAAAGAACUUCCAAAUACACGAUAAAUGGCCAUCAAUUGCUCCUCACGUGACAAACCUCUGCUGAGCACUUAGCACGUGACAUGUCAUCCAUCCAAGGUGGUAAAACGCAGGCUCCGUUUUUGAGGACCCCAGGGUGUAGUUGGGACAUAACGGGGUAGAGAGACCUCGCAGUAAGUCAGGUGGGGGACACAGACUCCCGGGGGAGAUGGUGUGGAAGCCCA